AAAUUGAAGAGUUUGAUCAUGGCUCAGAUUGAACGCUGGCGGCAGGCCUAACACAUGCAAGUCGAGCGGUAGCACAGAGAGCUUGCUCUCGGGUGACGAGCGGCGGACGGGUGAGUAAUGUCUGGGAAACUGCCUGAUGGAGGGGGAUAACUACUGGAAACGGUAGCUAAUACCGCAUAACGUCGCAAGACCAAAGUGGGGGACCUUCGGGCCUCAUGCCAUCAGAUGUGCCCAGAUGGGAUUAGCUAGUAGGUGGGGUAAUGGCUCACCUAGGCGACGAUCCCUAGCUGGUCUGAGAGGAUGACCAGCCACACUGGAACUGAGACACGGUCCAGACUCCUACGGGAGGCAGCAGUGGGGAAUAUUGCACAAUGGGCGCAAGCCUGAUGCAGCCAUGCCGCGUGUAUGAAGAAGGCCUUCGGGUUGUAAAGUACUUUCAGCGAGGAGGAAGGCAUUAAGGUUAAUAACCUUGAUGAUUGACGUUACUCGCAGAAGAAGCACCGGCUAACUCCGUGCCAGCAGCCGCGGUAAUACGGAGGGUGCAAGCGUUAAUCGGAAUUACUGGGCGUAAAGCGCACGCAGGCGGUCUGUCAAGUCGGAUGUGAAAUCCCCGGGCUCAACCUGGGAACUGCAUUCGAAACUGGCAGGCUAGAGUCUUGUAGAGGGGGGUAGAAUUCCAGGUGUAGCGGUGAAAUGCGUAGAGAUCUGGAGGAAUACCGGUGGCGAAGGCGGCCCCCUGGACAAAGACUGACGCUCAGGUGCGAAAGCGUGGGGAGCAAACAGGAUUAGAUACCCUGGUAGUCCACGCCGUAAACGAUGUCGACUUGGAGGUUGUGCCCUUGAGGCGUGGCUUCCGGAGCUAACGCGUUAAGUCGACCGCCUGGGGAGUACGGCCGCAAGGUUAAAACUCAAAUGAAUUGACGGGGGCCCGCACAAGCGGUGGAGCAUGUGGUUUAAUUCGAUGCAACGCGAAGAACCUUACCUACUCUUGACAUCCAGAGAACUUAGCAGAGAUGCUUUGGUGCCUUCGGGAACUCUGAGACAGGUGCUGCAUGGCUGUCGUCAGCUCGUGUUGUGAAAUGUUGGGUUAAGUCCCGCAACGAGCGCAACCCUUAUCCUUUGUUGCCAGCGAUUCGGUCGGGAACUCAAAGGAGACUGCCAGUGAUAAACUGGAGGAAGGUGGGGAUGACGUCAAGUCAUCAUGGCCCUUACGAGUAGGGCUACACACGUGCUACAAUGGCAUAUACAAAGAGAAGCGACCUCGCGAGAGCAAGCGGACCUCAUAAAGUAUGUCGUAGUCCGGAUUGGAGUCUGCAACUCGACUCCAUGAAGUCGGAAUCGCUAGUAAUCGUAGAUCAGAAUGCUACGGUGAAUACGUUCCCGGGCCUUGUACACACCGCCCGUCACACCAUGGGAGUGGGUUGCAAAAGAAGUAGGUAGCUUAACCUUCGGGAGGGCGCUUACCACUUUGUGAUUCAUGACUGGGGUGAAGUCGUAACAAGGUAACCGUAGGGGAACCUGCGGUUGGAUCACCUCCUUA
RNAcentral lists this ribosomal RNA (1540 nucleotides) under Klebsiella aerogenes. RNAcentral's name for it is "bacterial SSU rRNA". It matches the Rfam family "Bacterial small subunit ribosomal RNA". The record is from RNAcentral. Lineage: Bacteria; Pseudomonadati; Pseudomonadota; Gammaproteobacteria; Enterobacterales; Enterobacteriaceae.